UUUAGAAAUAAAAUUUUAGUUUUUUUCGACGUCGUUUACUUAGUAAAUAAAUUAUGUCAAAAUGGACGGUAGAAAUUGAAUAAUUUUUAAAAUUUUGAGCGUAGGACUUUUAAAUUCAAAAAAAUAAUGUUAACCUUAAUCUAGAUAAUUUAAAGUAUUUUCUAUCAAAAUUUGAAGAAAUUUAGAUUCUUCUACACCGUUAAACUCCAAACUCGCUAUAGUAGCCAUUGAAAAUUGAUAAUUUUGAAAUGGUUUGAUCAUAAAGUAAAUUACGUCGAAAAAAUAUAAAAUUUUAUUUCUAAAAACUUUAAAUACCCUACAUCAAUUUUAACGGUGUGGAUCGUUGAUUUGAACACCCUGAGAUCGAAAAGGGACUAUAGUACCGGAGUCCCGGUAUUAUAGAUAGUAUAGGAGACUAACUCUCUCUCUCUAUAUAUAUAUAUAUAUCUUUAACAUGCUAAUCCUUUUAGUCUCUUU
This 477-nucleotide long non-coding RNA is filed under the name Ananas comosus (pineapple). RNAcentral's name for it is "long non-coding RNA (ACOM_LNC007932)". Lineage: Eukaryota; Viridiplantae; Streptophyta; Magnoliopsida; Poales; Bromeliaceae. The record is from RNAcentral.